Molecule: ribosomal RNA, 397 nt
Filed under: uncultured bacterium
Lineage: Bacteria
Description: partial 16S ribosomal RNA
Rfam family: Bacterial small subunit ribosomal RNA
Source: RNAcentral
AUACGUAGGUGACAAGCGUUAUCCGGAUUUACUGGGCGUAAAGGGCGUGUAGGCGGUCUUGCAAGUCAGAAGUGAAAUUCCUGAGCUCAACUCGGGCGCUGCUUCUGAAACUGCAGGACUUGAGUGCUGGAGGGGAUAGCGGAAUUCCUAGUGGAGCGGUAAAAUGCGCAGAUAUUAGGAAGAACACCGGUGGCGAAGGCGCCUAGCUGGACAGUAACUGACGCGGAGGGCCAAAAGCGUGGGGAGCAAACAGGAUUAGAUACCCUGUUAGUCCACGCCGUAAACGAUGAAUACUAGGUGUAGGGGGUAUCGACUCCCUCUGUGCCGCAGUUAACACAAUAAGUAUUCCGCCUGGGGAGUACGGCCGCAAGGUUGAAACUCAAAUGAAUUGACUGGG